GAGGAGCUUGCUCCUCUGACGUUAGCGGCGGACGGGUGAGUAACACGUGGAUAACCUACCUAUAAGACUGGGAUAACUUCGGGAAACCGGAGCUAAUACCGGAUAAUAUAUUGAACCGCAUGGUUCAAUAGUGAAAGACGGUUUUGCUGUCACUUAUAGAUGGAUCCGCGCCGCAUUAGCUAGUUGGUAAGGUAACGGCUUACCAAGGCGACGAUGCGUAGCCGACCUGAGAGGGUGAUCGGCCACACUGGAACUGAGACACGGUCCAGACUCCUACGGGAGGCAGCAGUAGGGAAUCUUCCGCAAUGGGCGAAAGCCUGACGGAGCAACGCCGCGUGAGUGAUGAAGGUCUUCGGAUCGUAAAACUCUGUUAUUAGGGAAGAA
RNAcentral lists this ribosomal RNA (384 nucleotides) under uncultured Staphylococcus sp. Its description in RNAcentral is "bacterial SSU rRNA". It matches the Rfam family "Bacterial small subunit ribosomal RNA", at positions 73 to 449 of the family's 1533-position model. Lineage: Bacteria; Bacillati; Bacillota; Bacilli; Caryophanales; Staphylococcaceae. The record is from RNAcentral.